RNAcentral lists this ribosomal RNA (253 nucleotides) under uncultured bacterium. RNAcentral's name for it is "partial 16S ribosomal RNA". It matches the Rfam family "Bacterial small subunit ribosomal RNA", at positions 524 to 776 of the family's 1533-position model. The record is from RNAcentral.
UACAGAGGGUGCGAGCGUUAAUCGGAAUUACUGGGCGUAAAGCGUGCGUAGACGGCUAUCUAAGUCGGGUGUGAAAGCCCCGGGCUCAACCUGGGAAUUGCAUUCGAGACUGAAUAGCUAGGGUACGGUAGAGGGAAGUGGAAUUUCCGGUGUAGCGGUGAAAUGCGUAGAUAUCGGAAGGAACAUCAGUGGCGAAAGCGACUUCCUGGACCAGUACCGACGUUCAGGCACGAAAGCGUGGGGAGCAAACAGG